GUCUUUUAGAAAAAAAUUAAAAGUCUAAUCUGCCCAAUGAUUAUUAAAUGGCCGCGGUAAACUGACUGUGCAAAGGUAGCAUAAUAAUUAGUCUUUUAAUUAAAGGCUUGUAUGAAUGAUUGAAUGAGAUAUUUUCUUUAUUGCUUUUAACAUUUUAAUUUAAUUUUUAAGUAAAAAAGCUUAAAUUAUUAUGUGGGACGAGAAGACCCUAUAGAGUUUAAAAAUUAAUCUAAUCAAUUAUUUUUGGUUUUUGUUAUUAAAUAGAUUUUAUUAAUUUUUUUGUUGGGGUGAUAUUAAAAUUUAAUGAACUUUUAAUUUAUUAUUCAUUAAUUAAUGAUUUCAUGUUCUUAUUUUAAAAAUAAAGGACUAAAUUACCUUAGGGAUAACAGCGUAAUUAAACUAUAGAGUUCUAAUCGACAGUUUAGUUUGCGACCUCGAUGUUGGAUUAAGAAAAGAUUUUGGGGCAAAUUCUAUUAUGUCUAGGUCUGUUCGACCUUUAAAUUCUU
This 506-nucleotide ribosomal RNA is filed under the name Platypedia vanduzeei. RNAcentral's name for it is "partial large subunit ribosomal RNA". It matches the Rfam family "Archaeal large subunit ribosomal RNA", at positions 1953 to 2666 of the family's 2987-position model. The record is from RNAcentral. Lineage: Eukaryota; Metazoa; Arthropoda; Insecta; Hemiptera; Cicadidae.